RNAcentral lists this ribosomal RNA (490 nucleotides) under uncultured bacterium. RNAcentral's name for it is "partial 16S ribosomal RNA". It matches the Rfam family "Bacterial small subunit ribosomal RNA", at positions 30 to 507 of the family's 1533-position model. The record is from RNAcentral.
AUUGAACGCUGGCGGCAGGCCUAACACAUGCAAGUCGAACGGUAACAGGGAUCAGCUUGCUGAUUCGCUGACGAGUGGCGGACGGGUGAGUAAUGUCUGGGAAACUGCCUGAUGGAGGGGGAUAACUACUGGAAACGGUAGCUAAUACCGCAUAACGUCGCAAGACCAAAGAGGGGGACCUUCGGGCCUCUUUCCAUCGGAUGUGCCCAGAUGGGAUUAGCUAGUAGGUGGGGUAACGGCUCACCUAGGCGACGAUCCCUAGCUGGUCUGAGAGGAUGACCAGCCACACUGGAACUGAGACACGGUCCAGACUCCUACGGGAGGCAGCAGUGGGGAAUAUUGCACAAUGGGCGCAAGCCUGAUGCAGCCAUGCCGCGUGUAUGAAGAAGGCCUUCGGGUUGUAAAGUACUUUCAGCGGGGAGGAAGGGAGUAAAGUUAAUACCUUUGCUCAUUGACGUUACCCGCAGAAGAAGCACCGGCUAACUCCGUG